Molecule: long non-coding RNA, 870 nt
Filed under: Salmo salar (Atlantic salmon)
Lineage: Eukaryota; Metazoa; Chordata; Actinopteri; Salmoniformes; Salmonidae
Description: lncRNA (ENSSSAG00000110528.1)
Source: RNAcentral
GUGGUAGUCUAUAAGACAUAAUGAACAGGUGUGGUAGUCUAUAAGACAUAAUGAACAGGUGAGGUAGUCUCUAAGACAUAAUGAACAGGUGUGGUAGUCUCUAAGACAUAAUGAACAGGUGAGGUAGUCUCUAAGACAUAAUGAACAGGUGAGGUAGUCUCUAAGACAUAAUGAACAGGUGUGGUAGUCUCUAAGACAUAAUGAACAGGUGUGGUAGUCUCUAAGACAUAAUGAACAGGUGAGGUAGUCUAUAAGACAUAAUGAACAGGUGUGGUAGUCUAUAAGACAUAAUGAACAGGUGAGGUAGUCUCUAAGACAUAAUGAACAGGUGAGGUAGUCUCUAAGACAUAAUGAACAGGUGUGGUAGUCUCUAAGACAUAAUGAACAGGUGUGGUAGUCUCUAAGACAUAAUGAACAGGUGUGGUAGUCUAUAAGACAUAAUGAACAGGUGUGGUAGUCUAUAAGACAUAAUGAACAGGUGAGGUAGUCUCUAAGACAUAAUGAACAGGUGAGGUAGUCUAUAAGACAUAAUGAACAGGUGUGGUAGUCUCUAAGACAUAAUAAACAGGUGAGGUAGUCUCUAAGACCUAAUGAACAGGUGUGGUAGUCUCUAAGACAUAAUGAACAGGUGUGGUAGUCUGUUUUGUGGGUUUGUUCUAUCUGAGCUCCACCAUGUCUCUCUCCAGCUCUCUGAGCUCCACCAUGUCUCUCUCCAGCUCUCUGAGCUCCACCAUGUCUCUCUCCAGCUCUCUGAGCUCCACCAUGUCUCUCUCUCCAGCUCUCGGAGCUCCACCAUGUCUCUCUCCAGCUCUCUGAGCUCCACCAUGUCUCUCUCCAGCUCUCUGAGCUCCACCAUGUCUCUCUCUCCAG